AGGAGGGAGAGAAACAUCAGUGUGUGGUUCCCUCUCAUGUGCCCCGCACUGAAGACCCGACCUGCAAUCCAGGCAUGUACUCUGACCGAACUGGCAACCCUGUGGUUCACAGGCCAGCACUCAAUCCACUGAGCCACAACAGCCAGGGCAAAAAACAAGUAUCUAAACAUAAAAAAAAAUAAAUAAAUAAUUGAAUUAAAAAAUUAAAAUGAAAGAAUUUUUCCUGAAAGUUUAGGCCAAAAACAUGGGUGCCCACUCUACUUGGGAGUGUAUCAACAUGGCAAAAUACAGUCCCCCGCCUCCAUUGAAUGUUUGCAUAAUUGCUUAGACUAUUCUGGAUCCAAGGUGGCAGGGAGGCGGAAAGUGUCGAAGAUCUGACAACUGAUUCUACCUUUCAAAACAAAUAGAUGUUCCCUGGUGGGCAGAACACAGAUACAGCACGCUGAGAACAGAGCAGUAACUGAUGUUCAUUUCCUGCAGUGAGAGCAGUAAAACCGCCUGAACAAGCCUUAGAAAAUCCUUCACAUGAAAACAGCUGAGUAGCAGAGGCUCCAGCAGAAGUUUUCCGUGACUGAUGGAACUUAACUGAAGGUCCGCCUUGUCAACCUCAGGGUCUACCCUCAAGACUGGGGUUCUUCAAACUUCGUCCUGGCUUGUUUCCCUGCUGGGAAUCUGAGAUCUUAGAACAAACUGGACCAUCCAGAUGGAAUGUUUGGUGUGUUUUGGCACAACAGGAUCUGAGGAUGGAGUUAUAUGAUGCUGACUGAU
This is a long non-coding RNA of Phyllostomus hastatus (greater spear-nosed bat), 768 nucleotides long. RefSeq lists it as uncharacterized. Lineage: Eukaryota; Metazoa; Chordata; Mammalia; Chiroptera; Phyllostomidae. The record is from RefSeq and is a predicted model, not a curated record. The transcript is spliced from 3 exons.